Molecule: unclassified non-coding RNA, 334 nt
Filed under: soil metagenome
Description: partial contains 5.8S ribosomal RNA, internal transcribed spacer 2, and large subunit ribosomal RNA
Rfam family: 5.8S ribosomal RNA (bases 1-120)
Source: RNAcentral
GAUGAAGAACGUAGCGAAAUGCGAUAAGUAAUGUGAAUUGCAGAAUUCAGUGAAUCAUCGAAUCUUUGAACGCACAUUGCGCCCGCCAGUAUUCUGGCGGGCAUGCCUGUUCGAGCGUCAUUUCAACCAUCAAGCCCUGCUUGCGUUGGGGUCCUGCGGCUGCCCGCAGGCCCUGAAAACCAGUGGCGGGCUCGCUAGUCACACCGAGCGCAGUAAUACAUCUCGCUUUAGGCGUGCGGCGGGUUCUUGCCGUUAAACACCCCCUUUUUACCAAGGUUGACCUCGGAUCAGGUAGGAAUACCCGCUGAACUUAAGCAUAUCAAUAAGCGGAGGA